AGGCAGCAGUGGGGAAUAUUGGACAAUGGGCGAAAGCCUGAUCCAGCCAUGCCGCGUGUGUGAAGAAGGCCUUCGGGUUGUAAAGCACUUUAAGCGAGGAGGAAGGUUCGUUAGUUAAUACCUAGCGGAAUUGACGUUACUCGCAGAAUAAGCACCGGCUAACUCUGUGCCAGCAGCCGCGGUAAUACAGAGGGUGCAAGCGUUAAUCGGAAUUACUGGGCGUAAAGCGCGCGUAGGCGGUUGUGUAAGUUGGAUGUGAAAUCCCCGGGCUUAACCUGGGCACUGCAUUCAAAACUGCACGGCUAGAGUAUUGGAGAGGAAGGUAGAAUUCCAGGUGUAGCGGUGAAAUGCGUAGAGAUCUGGAGGAAUACCGAUGGCGAAGGCAGCCUUCUGGCCAAAUACUGACGCUGAGGUGCGAAAGCAUGGGGAGCAAACAGGAUUAGAUACCCUGGUAGUCCAUGCCGUAAACGAUGUCGACUAGGUGUUGGGGAACUUGAUUCCUUAGUGCCGCAGCUAACGCAUUAAGUCGACCGCCUGGGGAGUACGGUCGCAAGACUAAAACUCAAAUGAAUUGACGGGGGC
Molecule: ribosomal RNA, 582 nt
Filed under: uncultured Gammaproteobacteria bacterium
Lineage: Bacteria; Pseudomonadati; Pseudomonadota; Gammaproteobacteria
Description: bacterial SSU rRNA
Rfam family: Bacterial small subunit ribosomal RNA
Source: RNAcentral